UGAGGGGGACUGCUCCUAGUACGAGAGGACCGGAGUGGACGCAUCACUGGUGUUCGGGUUGUCAUGCCAAUGGCACUGCCCGGUAGCUAAAUGCGGAAGAGAUAAGUGCUGAAAGCAUCUAAGCACGAAACUUGCCCCGAGAUGAGUUCUCCCUGACUCCUUGAGAGUCCUGAAGGAACGUUGAAGACGACGACGUUGAUAGGCCGGGUGUGUAAGCGCAGCGAUGCGUUGAGCUAACCGGUACUAAUGAACCGUGAGGCUUAACCUU
Molecule: ribosomal RNA, 268 nt
Filed under: Escherichia coli
Lineage: Bacteria; Pseudomonadati; Pseudomonadota; Gammaproteobacteria; Enterobacterales; Enterobacteriaceae
Also listed under: 1 other name
Description: partial 23S ribosomal RNA
Rfam family: Bacterial large subunit ribosomal RNA
Source: RNAcentral